Molecule: RNA transcript, 3464 nt
Organism: Piliocolobus tephrosceles (Ugandan red Colobus)
Lineage: Eukaryota; Metazoa; Chordata; Mammalia; Primates; Cercopithecidae
Gene name: mitochondrial import receptor subunit TOM20 homolog pseudogene
Exons: 2
Source: RefSeq, a predicted model, not a curated record
AUGUUUUGCUUUAGGACAAUUAAUGCUGAUGCACUGAGGUUCCUAUAUGCUGGGGAGCUGGAAAAUGGAAUGAAGAAUCUUAGAAGAUUCCAUGCCCCCAGUAAGGACCCCAAUCUUUUUGAUGCUGAAAACCCUGAAUCUUGCUUUCCGAGUGCCUGUCCUGCCGGCGUCGGGUCUGCGCGGCUCCCUGUGCUCAGAUGGUUCGUGGGCAUCCGCUCCUUUCCCCCAUCGCCACAGUCCACACUCCGCGUUCUGGGGAAGAGUCUGGGUCGGAAGGGAGCCAUCGCCGCUGCGGUAUGCGGGGCCCUUUUCAUCGGGUACUGCAUCUACUGCGACCGCAAAAGACAAAGUGACCCCAACUUAAAGAACAGGCUUCCAGAGGAAAGAAAGAAACAGAAGCUGGCCGAGGAGAGAGUUGAGCUUUCCAAGUUUGCUGACCUUAAAGAUGCUGAAGCUGCUCAGAAAUUCUUCCUUGAAGAGAUACAGCUUUGGUGAAGAGAUCCUAGCUCAAGGUGUAGACCACCUGACAAAUCCAAGUUCUGUGUGUGGACAGCCACAGCAGUUAUUGCAAGUGCUACAACAAACUCUUCCACCACCAGUGAUUCAGAUACUUCUGACAAAGCCCCUACCAGUUAAUUAGACACUUGUAAGUGCUCAGCGCUUGGCUGAAGAUGAUGUGGAAUGAGAAACAAAUGUCAUAAUAAUAAAAUCUCAGUUAAAAUACUUAAAAAAUUCUUAACUUGGUAGUUGAGCAUAAGGGCAAAAUGCUUGUUAUGAACCAUUCUACACUGAAAUCUACCCAAGUUAAUGUUUACUUUGUGUAAAUCCAUUUGGUUAAUUUUUUCCAGUGAAAAGCAUAUUUUGAUAGAGAUCUUUUCACUUUAUAAGUACACUAUGAGUUACUGAAAUAUCACAGAUGUUCAUUUCUAAAACAUGCGAUUAUAAUGUACAUAUGGCCUUGCUUAUGUUAAAAACACCCAGUGGUCUGUGUUGAAAGACAAUAUGAGACGUGGUCUCCUCCCUUAAUCUCAAAAAAAAAUUUCUAGAAAUUAAAGCUUCUGCAUGGGAAUCAGACUCUUUACUCAUCAUAAGGAAAUCCUUGAAUUAUACUGACUCUGUUGCAAUAAUCAAAAAUUUAAAGGCCAUACUAACUGGAAGCAGACCCAGAAAACAGAAACAGGAAAACAAUGGCUUAAUUUAGUACAUUCAAUAUUCUUGAUAUCCUUGUCAUUAACCAUAAUUUAAUUGGAGUAAUAUUUUUGCUCCUUAAUUUUUCAACAUUGUAUAAAGAAUUUUCCAUCCAAAGUAAUGUGAGGCGGAGCUACCUGAAUUUCAGUGGCAAUAAGACAAAAAUAUUUUGACCCGCAGCUUUCGCAGGACCACUCUGAAGGAAAGUUAACUCUGUGAAGUUUAAUUUCUAUCUUCCUUGGCCUACAUUUUUUCAAAGGUAGCGAUUUUUGGUGACCUGAAACCCAAGCUGCGCCUGUCCUUUUCAAUGACUAAGUGGUUACAAACCAAAAAAGAUUGAACACUGACUGAUGAGGGAGAGCUGGCAACUCUACUUCCUGUGUUACUUCUCAAAGUGGGGUCUGGGAACACACUGGGGUACUUGGAUCCACAGGAUAUGCACUGGCCUCAGAAAGGCAAUACCAUCCAGUGUGGUGAGGGCGCAGACACCAGUGUUCUCGCUACUGCUGCUGAGACUGUGAAAUGGUACAACUUUCUGUGGGAAAAGUAAUAUUCAUUACUUCUAAUUAUUUAUACCCGAGCAAUUGUGCGCACACAUAAGUGCAUAUUUGCUGCAAAUCUCAGCUAAAGUCAAUAUUAGCUAAAGGUCUUUAAUUAGGCUUAGGGUUGUUAUCCACAUUUCAGAUAGUAUAAAUACUACCAUUCAUUAAUAAUGUUAAGGCAAUGUUGCUAAAAAUUGUUUUUACACCUUAGGUUAGGCAUGUGCAGGAAUUCAAUGGCUACAAGUUACAUGGCAUUAGUCUGGCUUUAGCUAUAUGAUGAGGAAAAUCAGGAAUUCCAUUCUAAGAUAUGUCGUGUUUGGUAAGGACAUUCUAAGCAAAUUAGGAAGGCAGGUGCAUGGAAGAAAAAAUGAUAUUCAUACCUCCUCCUCCAGAAUAUCACAAGCCAAAUAGAUGUGGGACAUGACUACUUGAUGGGACUCUGAUUUUAACUUCUUGGAUUGUAAACUCCAAAGUUUCAUACAGGAGUUGCCAAAUCCAGCAGCAAGCGGCUUGCUAUUGGGGGAGAUUUCUGCAGUGUUCAACAGCUGCUAGGUGUUAUAGAUGGCAUAGAAGCAGGUGGUGGUGAGGGAGGGAGGCCCAUCCUUGACUUGCUUAAUGCUCUCCUGUAAGACCUCCAGGGCAGCCUCCUUCUGCAGAAUAGGGCUGGGCGUGUCAUGGGCCUCCAAAUCAUUGUUCUCACUUCGGGAGGAGAUGCCACUUGCAUACAGCUGGUAGUCUGUUGUCUUGGCAGGCUGCACGUCCAGAUGAAUAUGUAAGGUGAGGACUUUGCACAGGGCAGUAUUGUUGUCACUUUGGAGGUAGCGGAUAAGGUAGUUGUAGCUGUCGUCUUGGAGACGGACCACGUACUUUUUAUCUAGGAAUGCUCGAAGCUUGAAGUUAGAUAGGAUGUCCUGGAUAUGUAGCUGCUCAAUGACCUCCUUCUGGCUAGCGUUCUGCAGAAACAUUCCAUGGAAGCGGCUGUAAAAACUUUCCACUGUGCUCUUUGGACCGUUCUGGACCAGGCUGAGAUGGAGGUAGACAAAGAGAGGAUAGAGGAGAGGCUUCACUUCGUGGCUAUGCUGUGAAUCAGAAUCGAUGAGAAAAAAUUCCGCUGUCGUCCAAACUGUACUUUAUAUUGCUGGGAUUCUGCCUGGCAAGGGGCUGCAGACACUAUGUUGGCACAACGAGAUUCUGAUUGUACUGUGAGAUUGGCCACCAUCUCUUCAGCAGUCUGUGGCAGCCGUGGUCCUUGCUUCAGGGGACCGUCUGAGUCCAUGUACUGCCAGUGUUUGAGGUAGCAAGACACUACCAUCUGGAUCUGCUCUGUACGCACUCAUUUCAUGACUGAACAUCCCAGGCGGCUCCGGCUCCUCCCCCCGCCCCCCCUCCCCCGCAGUCGCCGCCUACCGGAUCGCGUUGCUUCCGCCUCCAUUGUCUUUGCUGCAGGUCUCGCUCCAACUGCCGGCUCAGCUGGGCCUCUGAGCCCCGCGCCCCUCCGCCCCCGCCGCCGCUCCGGGCGGCCGCUCCAUGACUCUUUCUUUUAAUUAUUAUUUUUUUAGAGGGUCUCGCUAUGUUAUACAGGCUGGUCUCAAACUCCGAAGCGAUCUUUCCACCUUGGCCUCCCAAAGUGCUGGGAUUACAGGCGUGAGCCACCUCGCCUGGUCCAAGAAUCCUUUCUUUACUAAGAUUUUUCAUGAAGAUUUAGAGGGUCUUAGUAUUAUUUAGUAACAAAAA